UACAGAGGGUGCGAGCGUUAAUCGGAAUUACUGGGCGUAAAGCGUGCGUAGACGGUUAUUUAAGUCGGGUGUGAAAGCCCCGGGCUCAACCUGGGAAUUGCAUUCGAGACUGAAUAGCUAGGGUACGGUAGAGGGAAGCGGAAUUUCCGGUGUAGCGGUGAAAUGCGUAGAUAUCGGAAGGAACAUCAGUGGCGAAAGCGGCUUCCUGGACCAGUACCGACGUUCAGGCACGAAAGCGUGGGGAGCAGACAGG
RNAcentral lists this ribosomal RNA (253 nucleotides) under uncultured bacterium. RNAcentral's name for it is "partial 16S ribosomal RNA". It matches the Rfam family "Bacterial small subunit ribosomal RNA", at positions 524 to 776 of the family's 1533-position model. The record is from RNAcentral.